AGGAUUCCCCUAGUAACGGCGAGUGAAGAGGGAAGAGCCCAGCACCGAAGCCUGCGGCAGUUUUGCUGUUAGGCAAUGUGGUGUUUGGGUCGGCUCGUGGGACCGCCACUCCACUCGAAGUCCAGCAUUGAGUAUGGUUUCUGGAUUUGGCCCAGAGAGGGUGAAAGGCCCGUACGGGUGGAGUAUCAGACAUGUGAGGUGGUUCACCAGGCCGGCCUUAGAGUCGGGUUGUUUGGGAAUGCAGCCCAAAGCGGGUGGUAAACUCCAUCCAAGGCUAAAUACUAGCACGAGUCCGAUAGCGAACAAGUACCGUGAGGGAAAGUUGAAAAGUACUCUGAAGAGAGAGUAAACAGUACGUGAAACCGCAUGCAGGUAAACGGGUGGCGUCAAGCUGCAGGCCCAGAGAAUUCAGUCGGCCAGGGUGUUGUGUAUGCGCCUGGCGCAUCUAUCAGUCGGAGUAUGAUUGGAUGGUCCACCAGUAAACGGUGGGUCUGGCCGUGAGGUCAGGAUAUGUGUACCGGGUGGGUGCCGGAGCAUGCUAUCCGUCUGUGGACUGUCUGGCCGGUGCACUUUCUCUGUGGUCAACACCACGACCGGUGGUAUUGCCAGUCUGCUGUGCCCAAGUUGCAUUUGGUGGGUCCUCGUGGCUUACUGAGUGUGAUCACAGGCGAAGUCAGUUAACGGCGUAGAGGUGUUUCGGCACUUUUGCGUGUUAUCGGCAACUGUUUGUGAACGGGCCUGCUCAGUGUUUGUUGUAACCGACGCUGGGUGGUCCGGUGGGGCAUGGUGGUAAGAAUAACUGUGCAAGGCACCGGGGUUAUCGGCCUCAAAUGCGCCCUGCGCCCACGUUACAAGUGGUAUAUCGGCGGUGUCGUUGCUUUGCUGCCUGCCCGGUGCUGGGUGUGAUUGGCGUGUUGCCUGCUCAAAGUGGUAGGCCCGCCAGUGGCUCGGCUCGGGAUGGGUGGUUGGCGGUGCUGUUGGUGUGGGGCGUUGUGGGCCAAAUA
RNAcentral lists this ribosomal RNA (1004 nucleotides) under Megathylacoides lamothei. RNAcentral's name for it is "eukaryotic LSU rRNA". It matches the Rfam family "Eukaryotic large subunit ribosomal RNA", at positions 71 to 633 of the family's 3401-position model. Lineage: Eukaryota; Metazoa; Platyhelminthes; Cestoda; Proteocephalidea; Proteocephalidae. The record is from RNAcentral.